RNAcentral lists this microRNA precursor (91 nucleotides) under Mus musculus (house mouse). RNAcentral's name for it is "predicted gene, 55261 (ENSMUSG00002076976.1)". Lineage: Eukaryota; Metazoa; Chordata; Mammalia; Rodentia; Muridae. The record is from RNAcentral.
UGAGCGAGUGCGUGUGUGUACAUGUGCACAUGCACACAUGCACACACACACACACACACACACACACACACACACACACACACACACAUAU